UGUCGAGGAUUCAGCGCCGUUCCGGCGAGCGGAUUUCUUUUGCCUAACGAUAGGUGAAAGAAAAUG
Molecule: small RNA, 66 nt
Filed under: Hyphomicrobiales bacterium
Lineage: Bacteria; Pseudomonadati; Pseudomonadota; Alphaproteobacteria; Hyphomicrobiales
Description: S-element
Rfam family: S-element
About the family: This family represents a group of S-elements from p42d and related plasmids. The S-element has multiple functions and is believed to act as a negative regulator of repC transcription, be required for efficient replication and act as a translational enhancer of repC.
Source: RNAcentral